UAACGGCGAGUGAACCGGGAAGAGCUCAAAUUUGAAAUCUGGCGUCCUCAGGGCGUCCGAGUUGUAAUCUAUAGAGGCGUUUUCCGUGCCGGACCGUGUCCAAGUUCCUUGGAACAGGAUAUCAAAGAGGGUGACAAUCCCGUACUUGACACGACGACCGGUGCUCUGUGAUACGUCUUCUACGAGUCGAGUUGUUUGGGAAUGCAGCUCAAAAUGGGUGGUGAGUUCCAUCUAAAGCUAAAUAUUGGCGAGAGACCGAUAGCGAACAAGUACCGUGAGGGAAAGAUGAAAAGCACUUUGGAAAGAGAGUUAAACAGUACGUGAAAUUGUUGAAAGGGAAACGAUUGAAGUCAGUCGUGACCGAGAGGCUCAGCCGGUUCUGCCGGUGUAUUCCCCUCGGUCGGGUCAACAUCAGUUUUGUCCGGUGGAUAAGGGCGGUAGGAAGGUGGCACCCUCGGGUGUGUUAUAGCCUGCCGUCGCAUACAUCGGGUGAGACUGAGGAACGCAGCUCGCCUUUAUGGCCGGGGUUCGCCCACGUCCGAGCU
This 545-nucleotide ribosomal RNA is filed under the name Papiliotrema laurentii. RNAcentral's name for it is "eukaryotic LSU rRNA". It matches the Rfam family "Eukaryotic large subunit ribosomal RNA", at positions 84 to 608 of the family's 3401-position model. The record is from RNAcentral. Lineage: Eukaryota; Fungi; Basidiomycota; Tremellomycetes; Tremellales; Rhynchogastremaceae.